Molecule: non-coding RNA, 108 nt
Organism: Manis javanica (Malayan pangolin)
Lineage: Eukaryota; Metazoa; Chordata; Mammalia; Pholidota; Manidae
Source: RefSeq, a predicted model, not a curated record
UAGCAGUAUCGUAGUCCUUUUUGGACUGUGGGUGUGUGGUGGCCUUGAAAGGUGCUUUCUCGUACAAUGUCACGUCAUCAUUGAUAUAUUGUUAAGAGGUUUGUUGUA